Molecule: ribosomal RNA, 468 nt
Filed under: uncultured bacterium
Lineage: Bacteria
Description: partial 16S ribosomal RNA
Rfam family: Bacterial small subunit ribosomal RNA
Source: RNAcentral
GACGAACGCUGGCGGCGUGCUUAACACAUGCAAGUCGAACGGAAAGGCCCUGCUUUUGUGGGGUGCUCGAUUGGCGAACGGGUGAGUAACACGUGAGUAACCUGCCCUUGACUUUGGGAUAACUUCAGGAAACUGGGGCUAAUACCGGAUAGGAUCUCCUGCUGCAUGGUGGGGGUUGGAAAGUUUCGGCGGUUGGAGAUGGACUCGCGGCUUAUCGGCUUGUUAGUGGGGUAGUGGCUUACCAAGGCUUUGACGGGUAGCCGGCCUGAGAGGGUGACCGGGCACAUUGGGACUACGGUAGGGCCCAGACUCCUACGGGAGGCAGCAGUGGGGAAUAUUGCACAAUGGGCGGAAGCCUGAUGCAGCAACGCCGCGUGCGGGAUGACGGCCUUCGGGUUGUAAACCGCUUUCGCCUGUGACGAAGCGUGAGUGACGGUAAUGGGUAAAGAAGCACCGGCUAACUACGUG